CGGAAAAAUGGCCAAGAAACGCGUGGGCUAUAGCCUUGGUGGGGGGCGUGGGCGACGUUCGUCAGCGGGACUCGGAAUGGCCCCAGACUUGGCGGGCGGCCUCCGUAUGCCAAAAAUAGGCCACGGGCACAGCCGCGCCCAAAAAUCAGCCCCCGAAGGUCGGGGUCCCAAGACACCCCAGCGGAAAAAUGGCCAAGAAACGGGUGGGCUAUAGCCUUGGUGGGGGGCGUGGGCGAAGUUCGUCCGCGGGACUCGGAAUGGCCCCAGACUUGGCGGGCGGCCUCCGUGUGCCAAAAAUAGGCCACGGGCACAGCCGCGCCCAAAAAUCAGCCCCCGAAGGUCGGGGUCACAAGACCCCCCAGCGGAAAAAUGGCCAAGAAACGGGUGGGCUAUAGCCUUGGUGGGGGGCGUGGGCGAAGUUCGUCCGCGGGACUCGGAAUGGCCCCAGACUUGGCGGGCGGCCUCCGUCUGCCAAAAAUAGGCCACGGGCACAGCCGCGCCCAAAAAUCAGCCCCCGAAGGUCAGGGUCACAAGACCCCCCAGCGGAAAAAAGGCCAAGAAAUGCGUGGGCUAUAGCCUUGCUGGGGGGCGUGGGCGAAGUUCGUCCGCGGGACUCGAAAUGGCCCCAGAUUUGGCGGGCGGCCUCCGUGUGCCAAAAAUAGGCCACGGGCACAGCCGCGCCCAAAAAUCAGCCCCCGAAGGUCGGGGUCCCAAGACCCCCCAGCGGAAAAAAGGCCAAGAAACGCGUGGGCUAUAGCCUUGGUGGGGGGCGUGGGCGAAGUUCGUCCGCGGGACUCGGAAUGGCACCAUACUUGGCGGGCGGCCUCCGUGUGCCAAAAAUAGGCCACGGGCACAGCCGUGCCCAAAAAUCAGCCCCCGAAGGUCGGGGUCCCAAGACCCCCCAGCGGAAAAAUGGCCAACAAACGGGUGGGCUAUAGCCUUGGUGGGGGGCGUGGGCGAAGUUCGUCCGCGGGACUCGGAAUGGCCCCAGACUUGGCGAGCGGCCUCCGUGUGCCAAAAAUAGGCCACGGGCACAGCCGCGCCCAAAAAUCAGCCCCCGAAGGUCGGGGUCCCAAGACCCCCCAGCGGAAAAAAGGCCAAGAAACGCGUGGGCUAUAGCCUUGGUGGGGGGCGUGGGCGAAGUUCGUCCGCGGGACUCGGAAUGGCACCAUACUUGGCGGGCGGCCUCCGUGUGCCAAAAAUAGGCCACGGGCACAGCCGCGCCCAAAAAUCAGCCCCCGAAGGUCGGGGUCCCAAGACCCCCCAGCGGAAAAAAGGCCAAAAAACGGGUGGGCUAUAGCCUUGGUGGGGGGCGUGGGCGCAGGUCGUCCGCGGGACUCGGAAUGGCCCCAGACUUGGCGGGCGGCCUCCGUAUGCCAAAAAUAGGCCACGGGCACAGCCGCGCGAAAAAAAUCAGCCCCCGAAGGUCGGGGUCCCAAGACCCCCCAGCGGAAAAAUGGCCAAGAAACGCGUGGGCUAUAGCAUUGGUGGGGGGCGUGGGCGAAGUUCGUCCGCGGGACUCGGAAUGGCCCCAGACUUGGCGGGCGGCCUCCGUGUGCCAAAAAUAGGCCACGGGCAGAGCCGCGCCCAAAAAUCAGCCCCCGAAGGUCGGGGUCCCAAGACCCCCCAGCGGAAAAAUGGCCAAAAAACGGGUGGGCUAUAGCCUUGGUGGGGGGCGUGGGCGAAGUUCGUCCGCUGGACUCGGAAUGGCCCCAGACUUGGCGGGCGGCCUCCGUGUGCCAAAAAUAGGCCACGGGCACAGCCGCGCCCAAAAAUCAGCCCCCGAAGGUCGGGGUCCCAAGACCCCCCAGCGGAAAAAUGGCCAAGAAACGCGUGGGCUAUAGCCUUGGUGGGGGGCGUGGGCGAAGUUCGUCCGCGGGACUCGGAAUGGCCCCAGACUUGGCGGGCGGCCUCCGUGUGCCAAAAAUAGGCCACGGGCACAGCCGCGCCCAAAAAUCAGCCCCCGAAGGUCGGGGUCCCAAGACCCCCCAGCGGAAAAAUGGCCAAGAAACGGGUGGGCUAUAGCCUUGGUGGGGGGCGUGGGCGAAGUUCGUCCGCGGGACUCGGAAUGGCCCCAGACUUGGCGGGCGGCCUCUGUGUGCCAAAAAUAGGCCACGGGCACAGCCGCGCCCAAAAAUCAGCCCCCGAAGGUCAGGGUCCCAAGACCCCCCAGCGGAAAAAUGGCCAAGAAACGCGUGGGCUAUAGCCUUGGUGGGGGGCGUGGGCGAAGUUCGUCCGCGGGACUCGGAAUGGCCCCAGACUUGGCGGGCGGCCUCCGUGUGCCAAAAAUAGGCCACGGGCACAGCCGCGCCCAAAAAUCAGCCCCCGUAGGUCGGGGUCCCAAGACCCCCCAGCGGAAAAAUAGCCAAGAAACGGGUGGGCUAUAGCCUUGGUGGGGGGCGUGGGCGAAGUUCGUCCGCGGGACUCGGAAUGGCCCCAGACUUGGCGGGCGGCCUCCGUGUGCCAAAAAUAGGCCACGGGCACAGCCGCGCCCAAAAAUCAGCCCCCGAAGGUCGGGGUCACAAGACCCCCCAGCGGAAAAAAGGCCAAGAAACGCGUGGGCUAUAGCCUUGGUGGGGGGCGUGGGCGAAGUUCGUCCGCGGGACUCGGAAUGGCCCCAGACUUGGCGGGCGGCCUCCGUGUGCCAAAAAUAGGCCACGGGCACAGCCGCGCCCAAAAAUCAGCCCCCGAAGGUCGGGGUCCCAAGACCCCCCAGCGGAAAAAUGGCCAAGAAACGGGUGGGCUAUAGCCUUGGUGGGGGGCGUGGGCGAAGUUCGUCCGCGGGACUCAGAAUGGCCCCAGACUUGGCGGGCGGCCUCCGUGUGCCAAAAAUAGGCCACGGGCACAGCCGCGCCCAAAAAUCAGCCCCCGAAGGUCGGGGUCACAAGACCCCCCAGCGGAAAAAAGGCCAACAAACGCGUGGGCUAUAGCCUUGGUGGGGGGCGUGGGCGAAGUUCGUCCGCGGGACUCGGAAUGGCCCCAGACUUGGCAGGCGGCCUCCGUGUGCCAAAAAUAGGCCACGGGCACAGCCGCGCCCAAAAAUCAGCCCCCGAAGGUCGGGGUCACAAGACCCCCCAGCGGAAAAAAUGGCCAAGAAACGCGUGGGCUAUAGCCUUGGUGGGGGGCGUGGGGGAAGUUCGUCCACGGGACUCGGAAUGGCCCCAGACUUGGCGGGCGGCCUCCGUGUGCCAAAAAUAGGCCACGGGCACAGCCGCGCCCAAAAAUCAGCCCCCGAAGGUCGGGGUCCCAAGACCCCCCAGCGGAAAAAUGGCCAAGAAACGGGUGGGCUAUAGCCUUGGUGGGGGGCGUGGGCGAAGUUCGUCCGCGGGACUCGGAAUGGCCCCAGACUUGGCGGGCGGCCUCCGUGUGCCAAAAAUAGGCCACGGACACAGCCGCGCCCAAAAAUCAGCCCCCGAAGGUCGGGGUCCCAAGACCCCCCAGCGGAAAAAUGGCCAAGAAACGCGUGGGCUAUAGCCUUGGUGGGGGGCGUGGGCGAAGUUCGUCCGCGGGACUCGGAAUGGCCCCAGACUUGGCGGGCGGCCUCCGUGUGCCAAAAAUAGGCCACGGGCACAGCCGCGCCCAAAAAUCAACCCCCGAAGGUCGGGGUCCCAAGACCCCCCAGCGGAAAAAUAGCCAAGAAACGGGUGGGCUAUAGCCUUGGUGGGGGGCGUGGGCGAAGUUCGUCCGCGGGACUCGGAAUGGCCCCAGACUUGGCGGGCGGCCUCCGUGUACCAAAAAUAGGCCACGGGCACAGCCGCGCUCAAAAAUCAGCCCCCGAAGGUCGGGGUCACAAGACCCCCCAGCGGAAAAAAGGCCAAGAAACGCGUGGGCUAUAGCCUUGGUGGGGGGCGUGGGCGAAGUUCGUCCGCGGGACUCGGAAUGGCCCCAGACUUGGCGGGCGGCCUCCGUGUGCCAAAAAUAGGCCACGGGCACAGCCGCGCCCAAAAAUCAGCCCCCGAAGGUCGGGGUCACAAGACCCCCCAGCGGAAAAAAGGCCAAGAAACGCGUGGGCUAUAGCCUUGGUGGGGGGCAUGGGCGAAGUUCGUCCGCGGGACUCGAAAUGGCCCCAGACUUGGCGGGCGGCCUCCGUGUGCCAAAAAUAGGCCACGGGCACAGCCGCGCCCAAAAAUCAGCCCCCGAAGGUCGGGGUCACAAGACCCCCCAGCGGAAAAAAGGCCAAGAAACGCGUGGGCUAUAGCAUUGGUGGGGGGCGUGGGCGAAGUUCGUCCGCGGGACUCGGAAUGGCCCCAGACUUGGCGGGCGGCCUCCGUGUGCCAAAAAUAGGCCACGGGCACAGCCGCGCCCAAAAAUCAGCCCCCGAAGGUCGGGGUCACAAGACCCCCCAGCGGAAAAAAGGCCAAGAAACGCGUGGGCUAUAGCCUUGGUGGGGGGCGUGGGCGAAGUUCGUCCGCGGGACUCGGAAUGGCCCCAGACUUGGCGGGCGGCCUCCGUGUGCCAAAAAUAGGCCACGGGCACAGCCGCGCCCAAAAAUCAGCCCCCGAAGGUCGGGGUCACAAGACCCCCCAGCGGAAAAAAGGCCAAGAAACGCGUGGGCUAUAGCAUUGGUGGGGGGCGUGGGCGAAGUUCGUCCGCGGGACUCGGAAUGGCCCCAGACUUGGCGGUCGGCCUCCGUGUGCCAAAAAUAGGCCACGGGCAUAGCCGCGCCCAAAAAUCAGCCCCCGAAGGUCGGGGUCACAAGACCCCCCAGCGGAAAAAAGGCCAAAAAACGCAUGGGCUAUAGCCUUGGUGGGGGGCGUGGGCGAAGUUCGUCCGCGGGACUCGGAAUGGCCCCAGACUUGGCGGGCGGCCUCCGUGUGCCAAAAAUAGGCCACGGGCACAGCCGCGCCCAAAAAUCAGCCCCCGAAGGUCGGGGUCCCAAGACCCCCCAGCGGAAAAAUGGCCAAAAAACGGGUGGGCUAUAGCCUUGGUGGGGGGCGUGGGCGAAGUUCGUCCGCGGGACUCGGAAUGGCCCCAGACUUGGCGGGCGGCCUCC
RNAcentral lists this long non-coding RNA (4993 nucleotides) under Citrus x clementina. Its description in RNAcentral is "Citrus clementina (C. clementina) long non-coding RNA (CCLE_LNC001646)". The record is from RNAcentral. Lineage: Eukaryota; Viridiplantae; Streptophyta; Magnoliopsida; Sapindales; Rutaceae.